Molecule: long non-coding RNA, 396 nt
Organism: Malania oleifera
Lineage: Eukaryota; Viridiplantae; Streptophyta; Magnoliopsida; Santalales; Ximeniaceae
Exons: 2
Source: RefSeq, a predicted model, not a curated record
AGUCAGAUAACAUUAGGGUCAAUUUUUGACUUCAUGUCCAUCGGCGUCGUUGUCGCUUCGGCAGCUCCGUCCUGCCCUAGUCCCUGAGGAACGCAGCAAUAAUGGUGGAUAAUCGGCAGAUCCUCGGCUCAAAUUCUUCAUUCCUUCUGCUAAAAGUUUUUUACUCUCCAUCAACACGGCGCUCUGGUGUGGGUCUUCUAGAUGAUCGAGCUUAGAUAGCUCCAAGGCGAGGUUAGUUUUUGUGAGUGGAUACUAGAAUGGAUAUGUGUUUAGUUUUAUGUUUAAUAUAUUUUGUCCUAGUUAUGUAAUAUAAAGACUAGAUGUACCUUUUUAUGGGUUUGCAUAUGUAAAUAUAGAACUUUGGUAUUUUUUUAGGUUAUUUAAUUAAUUCUACUA